This is a non-coding RNA of Physcomitrium patens, 2812 nucleotides long. NCBI's taxonomy places the organism in Eukaryota, Viridiplantae, Streptophyta, Bryopsida, Funariales, Funariaceae. The record is from RefSeq and is a predicted model, not a curated record.
AGAAAAAUACACUCGUCUACAACAAAUCAGCAGCGUAAGAGCCAGCAUCUGAUAGUCCGAAAAGAGCGUCCAAAACGUUAAACAACCAAUCCUCAACACUUUCAGAAUCAACAAGAUGAGCGUUACAAUGAUUUUGGCAUGGUUAAGAAUGAAUCUUCGCAAAAAGAAGUGCAUCCUUCUCCAUUUAACCAUCACAAAAACCAAUAAAUGAGUCGUUUUCUAUCAUUUUUGCCUCGUGGCCUUGCCAUGAGUGAGUGGAUCAUAGCAGUCGUCUCCUCACACGCACAAAUCAUUAAUCAAAAAUCAAAACAAUAACACAAAACAAAAAACAAAACAAAACAAAACAUGGCGAUUAUCACCCACAGCUUCGAUGAGUGAGAAGAAAGCAAGACAGUGAUGAUGGAAAACAAAACAAUUUCCUCACCGUGUAGAAAAAGCGGCAUUCACCUGCAAGCCCAGGCAAUCAGAGAAGGAAUCAAAGAGUGGGGAUCGAUGGAGAGAUAGAAUUAAAAAGAAUUGGUGGGUUGCAAAGGGUAACGAAGGUGGAGUUGCAGGGAGUGAGAGCCAGAGAUCCGAAGGAGUAGCUGCCAUAUCCAAUCUGGGCAGCAGUGUUCUCCCAGCAAGGUCACAGCUUCGUACACUUCUGGAGUUGGGCGGCAGCAUAACCAGAGGUUUUCACCCCCUUUGUAAGGACGAAAACGUGCACAUAGCUGCGUGGGGCAUUGAUGCUGCAGCUUAUACUUAUAAUAGCUUGCAAUCCUCGUUUCUUAAUUGCUUCGAUAUCGGUACCCAGUUCCUCUCUCUCUUUGUGCAGGAUCAGUCCCUGGUUGGGAUACCUCCACCCUCUUCUCACUCUCAAGCAGGCUCCGUGGUUUCUGAUGGAGGACUGCGGGAGUAGUGUUUCAGUUACUCCACUCUCUACGUCCUGAUUAAGUGUAAAUCUUCAAAGCCAUCAUUCACUUUCUACACUGACUUGCGGCGUCGGGUGUUGUAUCACUUGUAUUACGGAAAACAUACAGUGCGACUCAGGUAUUUUUGGGGGUUUCGAGGGCAUAAUCCCCUCUCCGGACGAAGUCAGCUUGUGGACUGGUAUGUCUGAUCUGGUCGAACCUAUCUGGACCAACGUCUCCGCUACUCCGGACCAGGUUGGGGGUUUCGAGAACGUACGACAUGAGGAAAAUGGUCACUGACGUUUUUUUCAUCUCCGAGGGCAUAAAGGUGAGGUGCUACGACGAAGAGUUAGGAAGCAUGUAGGUCAUCUUUGCUCGAAGUCUGAUCAUGCCGUUGAAAUCUACAAGGUUAUUCACGAAAUGCUUAAGCUAAAAAGACAGAAUUGCAAGGUCCGUCCCAGUAUCACUAUUCUUGAAACCUUCAUGUGGUGUCGUAAAGUGAUGGUUGAGAUGCCUCGGUCUUGUGUCUAUUUUUAAGCUGAUUUUAGAUGGACGAACUUGAGAUGCAUCGUGUCUUUCCGAUAAACCAGCAGAAACCUCCUCAAGGUUAGGCAGAAACGAAAGAAUGCUGCAGACGUUGAAUUCAAACAAUCGCAUGCCGCAUUACGAACAGUCUAUGUUGCUCAAUUCUGUUUGGUAAUGAUUUCAUGUUGAACUUUUGGGCCUUCUAGGGCAUGAGGGCAUGACUUGACUUGACAGUGGAAGUUCGCCUGAUGAGAAAAUUGAAGGGUUUUAUCCUUGUCUUUUUGUUUUCCUUUGCUGUGCAUGUAAUCAUGCGGAAGUUUCUUGCAUUUGAUAAAAAUGUUGGACUCUCUAAACGCAGUACGACAUGACAACUUUAAAUCUCUUCCUUACAUGUAUGCUUACGGUGAACUGUUAGCAAGUGUAUGCUGCAGCUCAAAAUGUGUUUCCUUUUUGCCUAUCUCUGGUUAGAGUCAACUGCAAAUUCACAAUGUAGCAUGUGCGACGAACCUUAUUCCUUCUUUGUUGAAUUCUAACACCUUUAUAAUGCGGUCGUUUCUUCAUUGUGGAUGGUCGAUGUUCGCAGGCAUGAAUUAUCGGCUGGGAUAUAUUGCAACUAAGAAUUAAACAAAAUGACUGACCGUUCAGCAACUCAUGAAAUCAAUGGGGAAUAUUGGACCUGCCUGGCUCCUUGUAUGCCAUCUGCGAAGCUUGACAAAACUAUUGCCAGGGUACAUAGCUGCCAUGCAGGGAGUCAGACAGACCGUACGUCUUCCCAGAUUUACAUGCACCCCUCGUCAUCAUCCCUGUGUUUUGAGGUACUGUUCAAAACUCUAGUUCCAUGAUCUUCAUGUUUGUGCAUUAGAAUAUGAUUCGUAGGAUCUGUGGAUAGUUUCAGCUUAAGAUCUGAGUUUCUGUGUCUGGUAUUCAUCACUGCGGUUGUCAUGCUACCAGUGGCAUGCGCCAUGCAACUUAAACUUCUAAGGCUAUAAGUUCGGGAACUGUGAGCAAGAGCAUACUGCAGCUCAACGCAAACAGAGAAUUAAAACCCAAUCAUUAGCGAAUAGAUCGUUUGAAGAUGAGAUGUCGCUGCUAGUUGGAUAAUUUAGAAGAAAUUUCACAUGACUUUUCAUAUCCUUGAAUCCUUACACAUGAAAAGCAUCUGAUUUUUAGAUCGAAGAUAGUUUUACAUACUCUGACUUGUACUCUUCAUAUCUUAGAGUUAACGUUUAGAGAAAAUAGGGGAAAAAUGCUACACUAGAAGGUAUCAGUCCAAGCAGCGAGAUUUGUUUCAUGAUUCAAAUAUCACAUAUAAUGUGUUAACUUCUCCACGUUGUGUUCUUUAAAAAUAGAAUGGACCGUGUCUCUAUCCUAAAAUAAUUUUCUUUAAUUAUCGUUUU